RNAcentral lists this long non-coding RNA (491 nucleotides) under Nicotiana benthamiana. Its description in RNAcentral is "long non-coding RNA (NBEN_LNC013148)". The record is from RNAcentral. Lineage: Eukaryota; Viridiplantae; Streptophyta; Magnoliopsida; Solanales; Solanaceae.
CCCUAUCCAGCCCACAACUCACGACCCGUUACCCACCUAUACCACUUAUAACACAAAAACAAAGAUAACCCUAAAUCCAAAGACCCAAACGACGAAAAACAUUGUUCUUCUUCUCCAAAGCCAAAUCCAUUCCCAAAACUCGCCGAAUUUCAGGCGAGUGAAACCCAAACUCGCACCUCACAUUUUCCCUUCUCUCCUCCUACCAUAUUACAGUCAUUUCUGAUAGAUUCCCCUUUCCUCACAUGGUUCUUCGAUUUAUCUCGGAUUUUUUCACCCUUCAAAUAAAAAUUAGGAAAAAUUAAGAGCGGUAGAUUGGAUUUGAGCUAAUCUACUCCCUCCAUUUGUCCUUCUUUCAUCAGACAGGGUAAGAAAUCAAUUUGGGAGAGGAUUUUUUGUUUUUGGGAGAUUUCUUGGGGAGAAAGGGAGAAGAUUCGAGAAGGUUUGAAAGCCUAUAUAGGAGGAGCUUUAUAUUCAGAGACGGGAGGUUUNNN